GAGGCUUUAGCUUAAUUAAAGUGUCUGAGUUGCAUUCGGGAGAUGUACAUUAAAAUUUUACAGGCCUU
This 68-nucleotide transfer RNA is filed under the name Garthia gaudichaudii (Chilean marked gecko). Its description in RNAcentral is "tRNA-Ala". It matches the Rfam family "tRNA". Rfam says of the family: Transfer RNA (tRNA) molecules are approximately 80 nucleotides in length. Their secondary structure includes four short double-helical elements and three loops (D, anti-codon, and T loops). The record is from RNAcentral. Lineage: Eukaryota; Metazoa; Chordata; Lepidosauria; Squamata; Phyllodactylidae.